GACGAACGCUGGCGGCGUGCUUAACACAUGCAAGUCGAACGGAAAGGCCCCUUUGGGGGUGCUCGAGUGGCGAACGGGUGAGUAACACGUGGGUGAUCUGCCCUGCACUUUGGGAUAAGCCUGGGAAACUGGGUCUAAUACCGGAUAGGACUACGAAUCGCAUGGUUUGUGGUGGAAAGCUUUGGCGGUGUGGGAUGGGCCCGCGGCCUAUCAGCUUGUUGGUGGGGUGAUGGCCUACCAAGGCGACGACGGGUAGCCGGCCUGAGAGGGUGUCCGGCCACACUGGGACUGAGAUACGGCCCAGACUCCUACGGGAGGCAGCAGUGGGGAAUAUUGCACAAUGGGCGCAAGCCUGAUGCAGCGACGCCGCGUGAGGGAUGACGGCCUUCGGGUUGUAAACCUCUUUCAACGCCGACGAAGGGUGACUGACGGUAGGCGGAGAAGAAGCACCGGCCAACUACGUGC
RNAcentral lists this ribosomal RNA (465 nucleotides) under uncultured Mycobacteriaceae bacterium. RNAcentral's name for it is "bacterial SSU rRNA". It matches the Rfam family "Bacterial small subunit ribosomal RNA", at positions 28 to 508 of the family's 1533-position model. Lineage: Bacteria; Bacillati; Actinomycetota; Actinomycetes; Mycobacteriales; Mycobacteriaceae. The record is from RNAcentral.